Molecule: long non-coding RNA, 1296 nt
Organism: Tupaia belangeri chinensis (Chinese tree shrew)
Lineage: Eukaryota; Metazoa; Chordata; Mammalia; Scandentia; Tupaiidae
Exons: 7
Source: RefSeq, a predicted model, not a curated record
UCCAAGGGCUGGCCUCUGUCACCCCCGACACGCACUCUGUCCCCCACCCCUGCAGUCUGAGCCUUCAUCUUCCAGUGGUCACUUUCUCCUUUCUGACUAAGAGCUGGAUUUGGGAUCAGUGAAGCUGACAGGAGAAGAGUAGUGGAGAGAUUUGAGCAAGAGGGGACUGGAGCCCCCCAGACCACAAAUGGCAGGGAUGCCCUCUUCCUGCGACUCCUAUCAACUCCACUCCCAUCCUAGACACACACACCAUUCACUCCUCGCUCAAGUUCCAAAGUGAACUGGAACUCCGAGGACAAUGGGGACGGGGUAUUCUGUCACACCCUUUCUCUUGCUUCCUUUGGGGAGGAGGGAGGCCAGAAGGAACAAUAGCUUCCCUGAGCCCCUUCUUCCUGCCUCAGGGAGAGCAGCAAGAGAAAGAAAGAGAGAGGCGAGCGAAAUUCCUGAAUGGAUAGACAGAUGCUACGUCACCGUCAUCGGAGCUGCAUCCUCCACUCCACAAGAGGCUAGGGGCUGGGGGCAGAGAGGCAGUCCAGCCGCAGGGGCCACCGAGCAAUCUCUCCUCCUCACAGAAGCCGGGAGCUGGGCAUCCCAGAAGAAGCAGCCUCAUUUGUUUCUGGUGUGAUCGUAGGUGGCCGCCUUUGGCUUUUGGGGGGAAGUCCAUGGUCUUGCUCACUCCUGUCUUGGCAAGUACUUCCCAAUGUUUAACCCAAGUCAUCACUGCCAUAGGCCCGGCUCGGUGACCCCGCUUGUCAUGGCUGAGUUGAGAGGCAUAGCUUUCACCCGGAAGAGAAGAAGUGGAGCUUGGUUUGGCGACCACCUGGCUGUUCAAGCCCUUUCUUAGCCUUUAUCUCAGUCCAUCUUCCAGCAGUCCUGGACACGGGAGAGCCUGUCUCCGCCUGGCAAAGGAGGAAUUCACGCCUGGGGACGAUGCGCCACUCCCAGUCGCCGGACUAACACAACCAGAGGGCCGAGAGAAGGGAGGACCCCACAGGCAGGCCAGAAAAGAAGAACCUGCUUCACCUGCUGGCCUGGGUUCCCUCAGGAGCUUUCCUGGAUGGACUGAACGAUGAGGCUGAGCUGUAGUGAGUGAAAGCUGACCGGCUCCUCCAAGAAGACUCGAGCUGUGUGGAAGUGGGAGGACCCCGCUUCAGCCUGGGCACCCCACUCGGCUCGGAGCUGUCUGGGACAAGACUUGCCUGACCCAUUCCUCUGUGGCUGCAGCUGGUCCUUCUGGCCCGGCCCAGUUUAUCCUGUGUCCUCUGCGCUGGGACGCCCCUGCCCUCUGAGAUAGAA